RNAcentral lists this ribosomal RNA (253 nucleotides) under uncultured bacterium. Its description in RNAcentral is "partial 16S ribosomal RNA". It matches the Rfam family "Bacterial small subunit ribosomal RNA", at positions 524 to 776 of the family's 1533-position model. The record is from RNAcentral.
UACGAAGGGUGCAAGCGUUACUCGGAAUUACUGGGCGUAAAGCGUGCGUAGGUGGUUCGUUAAGUCUGAUGUGAAAGCCCUGGGCUCAACCUGGGAAUGGCAUUGGAAACUGGCGACCUAGAGUGCGGUAGAGGAUGGCGGAAUUCCCGGUGUAGCAGUGAAAUGCGUAGAGAUCGGGAGGAACAUCUGUGGCGAAGGCGACACCCUGGACCAGCACUGACACUGAGGCACGAAAGCGUGGGGAGCAAACAGG